UGGGGAAUAUUGCACAAUGGGCGCAAGCCUGAUGCAGCCAUGCCGCGUGUAUGAAGAAGGCCUUCGGGUUGUAAAGUACUUUCAGUCGGGAGGAAGGUGGUAAGGUUAAUAACCUUGGCAAUUGACGUUACCGACAGAAGAAGCACCGGCUAACUCCGUGCCAGCAGCCGCGGUAAUACGGAGGGUGCAAGCGUUAAUCGGAAUUACUGGGCGUAAAGCGCACGCAGGCGGUUGAUUGAGUCAGAUGUGAAAUCCCCGGGCUUAACCCGGGAAUUGCAUCUGAUACUGGGCAGCUAGAGUCUUGUAGAGGGGGGUAGAAUUCCAUGUGUAGCGGUGAAAUGCGUAGAGAUGUGGAGGAAUAACGGUGGCGAAGGCGGCCCCCUGGACAAAGACUGACGCUCAGGUGCGAAAGCGUGGGGAGCAAACAGG
Molecule: ribosomal RNA, 429 nt
Filed under: Chloroflexota bacterium
Lineage: Bacteria; Bacillati; Chloroflexota
Description: Chloroflexi bacterium partial 16S ribosomal RNA
Rfam family: Bacterial small subunit ribosomal RNA
Source: RNAcentral